Non-coding RNA from Vibrio sp., 135 nucleotides. NCBI's taxonomy places the organism in Bacteria, Pseudomonadati, Pseudomonadota, Gammaproteobacteria, Vibrionales, Vibrionaceae. The record is from Rfam.
GGUGGCGUGCUGCUCAGCCCCUUUUUGAUUUACGCGGUGCUGGCGCUGCUAUUGACCGGCUUGCUGCGGUGGCUGUUGCAGCGUGUGGGGUUUACCCGCUGGAUCUGGCACGAAGCACUGUUUGAUUUCGCAUUA